UGCAGUCGAACGAUGAAGCCCAGCUUGCUGGGUGGAUUAGUGGCGAACGGGUGAGUAACACGUGAGUAACCUGCCCUUGACUCUGGGAUAAGCACUGGAAACGGUGUCUAAUACCGGAUAUUUCAGCUGGCCGCAUGGUCUGGUUGUGGAAAGAAUUUUGGUCAAGGAUGGACUCGCGGCCUAUCAGGUUGUUGGUGAGGUAAUGGCUCACCAAGCCUACGACGGGUAGCCGGCCUGAGAGGGUGACCGGCCACACUGGGACUGAGACACGGCCCAGACUCCUACGGGAGGCAGCAGUGGGGAAUAUUGCACAAUGGGCGAAAGCCUGAUGCAGCAACGCCGCGUGAGGGACGACGGCCUUCGGGUUGUAAACCUCUUUUAGUAGGGAAGAAGCGAAAGUGACGGUACCUGCAGAAAAAGCACCGGCUAACUACGUGCCAGCAGCCGCGGUAAUACGUAGGGUGCAAGCGUUGUCCGGAAUUAUUGGGCGUAAAGAGCUCGUAGGCGGUUUGUCGCGUCUGCUGUGAAAACUGGAGGCUCAACCUCCAGCCUGCAGUGGGUACGGGCAGACUAGAGUGCGGUAGGGGAGAUUGGAAUUCCUGGUGUAGCGGUGGAAUGCGCAGAUAUCAGGAGGAACACCGAUGGCGAAGGCAGAUCUCUGGGCCGUAACUGACGCUGAGGAGCGAAAGCAUGGGGAGCGAACAGGAUUAGAUACCCUGGUAGUCCAUGCCGUAAACGUUGGGAACUAGAUGUGGGGGCCAUUCCACGGUCUCCGUGUCGCAGCUAACGCAUUAAGUUCCCCGCCUGGGGAGUACGGCCGCAAGGCUAAAACUCAAAGGAAUUGACGGGGGCCCGCACAAGCGGCGGAGCAUGCGGAUUAAUUCGAUGCAACGCGAAGAACCUUACCAAGGCUUGACAUAUACGAGAACGGGCCAGAAAUGGUCAACUCUUUGGACACUCGUAAACAGGUGGUGCAUGGUUGUCGUCAGCUCGUGUCGUGAGAUGUUGGGGUUAAGUCCCGCAACGAGCGCAACCCUCGUUCUAUGUUGC
This 1050-nucleotide ribosomal RNA is filed under the name Agreia sp. 762G33. RNAcentral describes it as "bacterial SSU rRNA". It matches the Rfam family "Bacterial small subunit ribosomal RNA", at positions 56 to 1118 of the family's 1533-position model. The record is from RNAcentral. Lineage: Bacteria; Bacillati; Actinomycetota; Actinomycetes; Micrococcales; Microbacteriaceae.